Molecule: RNA transcript, 1375 nt
Organism: Juglans microcarpa x Juglans regia
Lineage: Eukaryota; Viridiplantae; Streptophyta; Magnoliopsida; Fagales; Juglandaceae
Gene name: protein COFACTOR ASSEMBLY OF COMPLEX C SUBUNIT B CCB4, chloroplastic
Exons: 8
Source: RefSeq, a predicted model, not a curated record
ACGAUGGAAGUAGGAAGUCUCCAUUUCCAUUGUCGUCCGAUUCCAUGGAGCCCCGAACUACGUCGUCGUACUAAGCCCACUUUGCCGCGCUUCUUAUUCUUCUUUAGGGCUUCUUCUUCCUCUUCAAAUUCAGGGGCAGAUUAUAAAGGGCCAAAGCCAAGGAGGGAUUGGGUCGCUGAUUUGGUCUCUAACAACGACGACGCCGUCCGGAGCUUGCCGAUUUACGUUGGAGGGGCAUCGCUGUUGGCUGUUCUCCUCAACCGCACCGUUUCGGGCAUUGCUCCGGUUGCCGAUGCCAGCAGUUCACAGUCAAGAGCUGAUCUUUUGGCACUUGGAUUGGCUGUCACCAAUAUUCUAACUGGUCUAGUAUGGCUGUCAAUCCGACCAAAGCCUAUAUCUGUGGUAAGUCCUGAAGGGGUUGAAUGUCAGAGAAUAUAUUCUCAUCUCCCUGAUUCUGUAUCUUCUGAAUUAUUGUGGGUGUGGGAAUCUCUGUCAGAUGUGACAUGCUGCAGGACUCUAAUUGUUGUUUAUGAUAGCCAUUGUAUCCUUCAAAUUGGUUUUGCAGCUAAAUCUUCUAAUGGUGAUGGUGAGCCUGUGGCAGUGGACUCUGUUAAACUAAUGCAGGGAUCCCUCUAUCAGAAUGUUAUAAAAUCUGGAGCUCAGAGCUACUUGGCCAACCUAUCUCUUUAUCCUGGAAAGUCUGAGCUGCCAUUUCUGCCUUCAAAUACACAGGCAGUAAUUCUGCAGCCACUUGGAGAGAAAGGAGUUGCAAUAAUUGGUGGUGACACCAUUAGGGGUUUUACGACUUCUGAUCAGGCAUGGAUUACUUUAAUUGGAGAAAAGCUGGAUGCUACGAUUGCAAAGAAUUUGAAAAACCUCACAUUGUCGGCGCAAGAGUGACUCUGAAAGAAAGACUGAUGUUAAGCUUACCAAAGAUCAUGUGUGCAUAACAUUUGUUGGGGCCUUUACGCAAGUGAACCUGGUAACGAUACUUCCAAAUGGGAUGAUACAGAAAUCAGGUUCAUUAGUAGUGGCGACUUCUGAGUAUGCUUCAAACCUCACGGUCACUUGAACCUUUGUGGGUUAUAACCCGAUCAUGCUCUUCAACCUUUCAAGUUGCAAAACUAGUCUAUUGAUUACCCAUUUCUAAGGUACAUGCCUCACAAAUUUCAUGCUGAACUUUCAUGUAUUGUUCAGAUAUGUGAUACAUCACAGACUCCCAUGUCUAUACUCCCCUAGAUUUUAUUAAUUGUAUCAUCCCAUGUCCUACUUUUUAAUGUAAUAUUCUUCCUAUAACAUUAAGCAAAGAAAUCGACGUAUCAUUCAACAAGUUUUUAAACAGAAAUGUGGAAAAAAACUGCAUUCCAUUUCAUGA